Molecule: long non-coding RNA, 610 nt
Organism: Anastrepha obliqua
Lineage: Eukaryota; Metazoa; Arthropoda; Insecta; Diptera; Tephritidae
Exons: 3
Source: RefSeq, a predicted model, not a curated record
GGGCUUUAAAGACGUACUGGGAAAACGACACUGAAGAUAGCAUAAAUUUUCAAUUGAAAGCAGUUUUUAAGAGGAACAAUUUCUUUUGUUGAAGCAAAUACAUCUUUAAAAAUGCAUUUCUUGUCUACACAUUUGGAUUUUUUCCCGGAGAAUCUCUGAACUGAAAAUGAUAAGCAUCGCAAGAGAUUCCACCAUCAAAUCUAGUGAGGAGUGGAUGUUCCAGCAUUACAACGUACACGUUCAUGCUUCCAAAGCAACAAACGAAAUUUUGGUAGUGAAAAAAAUACCAAUUUUAGAAUGGUCUAACUGAAGCCUUGACCUUAGCCUAAUCGAAAAUGUAUGCAGAAUACUUUCUUCAUUGGUUUUCGAAAAUGGAAGACAAUUUGAAAGCGCUAAAACCCUUAUUGUCGGUUGGUCAAAAAUUGAUCAAAAUAUUAUAAAAAACUUAAUGAAAUCGAUGCCUCGACGACUUGAACCAGUUAUAAUCAAAGGAGGAUCCAACACAAAUUACUAAGCUCCAAAUUAUAAACUCACUCUAAAAAUUAUAUUUGUUUAUUUUAAAUAUAAUAACAUUCGUCGUGUACUUUUUUGUCCUGUAAAGGGUGUUUUU